RNAcentral lists this long non-coding RNA (223 nucleotides) under Cicer arietinum (chickpea). RNAcentral describes it as "long non-coding RNA (CARI_LNC000564)". Lineage: Eukaryota; Viridiplantae; Streptophyta; Magnoliopsida; Fabales; Fabaceae. The record is from RNAcentral.
AAAGGUAUCUUUUUUGGAGAGAGGGAGAAAAUUAAGCACACCCCAUUUUUUUGUAAUCAUGGGUUGCUCAGCCUCAAAAACAACCACCAUAGUUGCAAAACAAAAUCCAAUGGUGCCGGAGCAGUGGUGGCAUAAUAAUCAUCAUCGUCAUCCAAAUCGGCCCACGAAGUCGCAUUCAAUGGUGCCGGAGCCCAAAACACCUGAGAUUCCGAUUCAGAUUCCA